UAUACAUGCAGUCGAGCGAACGGACGAGAAGCUUGCUUCUCUGAUGUUAGCGGCGGACGGGUGAGUAACACGUGGAUAACCUACCUAUAAGACUGGGAUAACUUCGGGAAACCGGAGCUAAUACCGGAUAAUAUUUUGAACCGCAUGGUUCAAAAGUGAAAGACGGUCUUGCUGUCACUUAUAGAUGGAUCCGCGCUGCAUUAGCUAGUUGGUAAGGUAACGGCUUACCAAGGCAACGAUGCAUAGCCGACCUGAGAGGGUGAUCGGCCACACUGGAACUGAGACACGGUCCAGACUCCUACGGGAGGCAGCAGUAGGGAAUCUUCCGCAAUGGGCGAAAGCCUGACGGAGCAACGCCGCGUGAGUGAUGAAGGUCUUCGGAUCGUAAAACUCUGUUAUUAGGGAAGAACAUAUGUGUAAGUAACUGUGCACAUCUUGACGGUACCUAAUCAGAAAGCCACGGCUAACUACGUGCCAGCAGCCGCGGUAAUACGUAGGUGGCAAGCGUUAUCCGGAAUUAUUGGGCGUAAAGCGCGCGUAGGCGGUUUUUUAAGUCUGAUGUGAAAGCCCACGGCUCAACCGUGGAGGGUCAUUGGAAACUGGAAAACUUGAGUGCAGAAGAGGAAAGUGGAAUUCCAUGUGUAGCGGUGAAAUGCGCAGAGAUAUGGAGGAACACCAGUGGCGAAGGCGACUUUCUGGUCUGUAACUGACGCUGAUGUGCGAAAGCGUGGGGAUCAAACAGGAUUAGAUACCCUGGUAGUCCACGCCGUAAACGAUGAGUGCUAAGUGUUAGGGGGUUUCCGCCCCUUAGUGCUGCAGCUAACGCAUUAAGCACUCCGCCUGGGGAGUACGACCGCAAGGUUGAAACUCAAAGGAAUUGACGGGGACCCGCACAAGCGGUGGAGCAUGUGGUUUAAUUCGAAGCAACGCGAAGAACCUUACCAAAUCUUGACAUCCUUUGACAACUCUAGAGAUAGAGCUUUCCCCUUCGGGGGACAAAGUGACAGGUGGUGCAUGGUUGUCGUCAGCUCGUGUCGUGAGAUGUUGGGUUAAGUCCCGCAACGAGCGCAACCCUUAAGCUUAGUUGCCAUCAUUAAGUUGGGCACUCUAAGUUGACUGCCGGUGACAAACCGGAGGAAGGUGGGGAUGACGUCAAAUCAUCAUGCCCCUUAUGAUUUGGGCUACACACGUGCUACAAUGGACAAUACAAAGGGCAGCGAAACCGCGAGGUCAAGCAAAUCCCAUAAAGUUGUUCUCAGUUCGGAUUGUAGUCUGCAACUCGACUACAUGAAGCUGGAAUCGCUAGUAAUCGUAGAUCAGCAUGCUACGGUGAAUACGUUCCCGGGUCUUGUACACACCGCCCGUCACACCACGAGAGUUUGUAACACCCGAAGCCGGUGGAGU
RNAcentral lists this ribosomal RNA (1404 nucleotides) under Staphylococcus aureus. RNAcentral's name for it is "bacterial SSU rRNA". It matches the Rfam family "Bacterial small subunit ribosomal RNA". Lineage: Bacteria; Bacillati; Bacillota; Bacilli; Caryophanales; Staphylococcaceae. The record is from RNAcentral.